GAACAAUGAAGCGUGAGCUGGAGGGGAGCGAGCGGGCCGCCGGGAGCGCACUGUGUACAAACAGAGGCGGCGUGCGUAGAGGGAGGUAGGGAGAGAGACAAACACAGAGCUAGAGAAAUUGAAAGAGAAACAUUCUCGAAGGCAAAGAGUUGAAAGGUGAAUCUACUAAGAAAAGAAUAACAGAGUGCAAUUAGCCAUGGAACUACAUCUCCAUCUGCCUCCUUUAAAGGAUGAGUCCUUUAAAGAGCCUUUGGAAGGAAUUGGGCCAUGAGAAGAGCCCUCAUGAAUGGGAUUAGUUCCCUUAUAAGAAGAGACACCAAGGAAGUGAUCUUUCUCUGCCCUCUGCUAUGUGAAGACAAGGUCAUCUGCAGUUUUUUGUUGUUGUUGAUGAUCUUCCUGUCAUAGACAAUGCUGUAACAAACAGACUAAUUGUUCACUGUUGACAUAUAGAAGUACUACUGAUUGGCCAGACAUAGUGGCUCAUGCCUGGAAUCCCAGCACUUUGGGAGGCCAAGGCAGGUGGAUCACUUGAGCCCAGA
Molecule: long non-coding RNA, 539 nt
Filed under: Homo sapiens (human)
Lineage: Eukaryota; Metazoa; Chordata; Mammalia; Primates; Hominidae
Description: HSALNT0327746
Source: RNAcentral